GAUGAACGCUGGCGGCGUGCCUAAUACAUGCAAGUCGAGCGAACAGACGAGGAGCUUGCUCCUCUGACGUUAGCGGCGGACGGGUGAGUAACACGUGGAUAACCUACCUAUAAGACUGGGAUAACUUCGGGAAACCGGAGCUAAUACCGGAUAAUAUAUUGAACCGCAUGGUUCAAUAGUGAAAGACGGUUUUGCUGUCACUUAUAGAUGGAUCCGCGCCGCAUUAGCUAGUUGGUAAGGUAACGGCUUACCAAGGCAACGAUGCGUAGCCGACCUGAGAGGAUGAUCGGCCACACUGGAACUGAGACACGGUCCAGACUCCUACGGGAGGCAGCAGUAGGGAAUCUUGCGCAAUGGGCGAAAGCCUGACGGAGCAACGCCGCGUGAGUGAUGAAGGUCUUCGGAUCGUAAAACUCUGUUAUUAGGGAAGAAAAAAUGUGUAAGUAACUAUGCACGUCUUGACGGUACCCAAUCAGAAAGCCACGGCUAACUACGUG
Molecule: ribosomal RNA, 497 nt
Filed under: uncultured bacterium
Lineage: Bacteria
Description: partial 16S ribosomal RNA
Rfam family: Bacterial small subunit ribosomal RNA
Source: RNAcentral